GAAGGUUGAUCUCUCGUAUGGAUG
This 24-nucleotide non-coding RNA is filed under the name Arabidopsis thaliana (thale cress). The record is from RNAcentral. Lineage: Eukaryota; Viridiplantae; Streptophyta; Magnoliopsida; Brassicales; Brassicaceae.